This 772-nucleotide ribosomal RNA is filed under the name uncultured Vagococcus sp. Its description in RNAcentral is "bacterial SSU rRNA". It matches the Rfam family "Bacterial small subunit ribosomal RNA", at positions 28 to 776 of the family's 1533-position model. Lineage: Bacteria; Bacillati; Bacillota; Bacilli; Lactobacillales; Enterococcaceae. The record is from RNAcentral.
GACGAACGCCGGCGGCGUGCCUAAUACAUGCAAGUCGAACGCACGAAGUUGAAGAGCUUGCUCUUUAACCAAGUGAGUGGCGGACGGGUGAGUAACACGUGGGUAACCUGCCCAUUAGAGGGGGAUAACAUUCGGAAACGGAUGCUAAUACCGCAUAGUUUCAGGAAUCGCAUGAUUCUUGAAGGAAAGGUGGCUUCGGCUACCACUAAUGGAUGGACCCGCGGCGUAUUAGCUAGUUGGUGAGGUAAUGGCUCACCAAGGCAAUGAUACGUAGCCGACCUGAGAGGGUGAUCGGCCACACUGGGACUGAGACACGGCCCAGACUCCUACGGGAGGCAGCAGUAGGGAAUCUUCCGCAAUGGACGAAAGUCUGACGGAGCAACGCCGCGUGAGUGAAGAAGGUUUUCGGAUCGUAAAACUCUGUUGUUAAAGAAGAACAAGGAUGAGAGUAACUGCUCAUCCCCUGACGGUAUUUAACCAGAAAGCCACGGCUAACUACGUGCCAGCAGCCGCGGUAAUACGUAGGUGGCAAGCGUUGUCCGGAUUUAUUGGGCGUAAAGCGAGCGCAGGCGGUUCUUUAAGUCUGAUGUGAAAGCCCCCGGCUCAACCGGGGAGGGUCAUUGGAAACUGGAGAACUUGAGUGCAGAAGAGGAGAGUGGAAUUCCACGUGUAGCGGUGAAAUGCGUAGAUAUGUGGAGGAACACCAGUGGCGAAGGCGACUCUCUGGUCUGUAACUGACGCUGAGGCUCGAAAAGCGUGGGGAGCAAACAGG